RNAcentral lists this RNase P RNA (291 nucleotides) under Fischerella thermalis CCMEE 5196. Its description in RNAcentral is "partial RNase P RNA component class A". It matches the Rfam family "Bacterial RNase P class A", at positions 88 to 367 of the family's 367-position model. From Rfam's summary of the family: Ribonuclease P (RNase P) is a ubiquitous endoribonuclease, found in archaea, bacteria and eukarya as well as chloroplasts and mitochondria. Lineage: Bacteria; Bacillati; Cyanobacteriota; Cyanophyceae; Nostocales; Hapalosiphonaceae. The record is from RNAcentral.
GGUAAUGGGUAAUGGGUAAUGGGUAAUGGGAAAAAACCUAUUACCAAUUACCUUUUCCCGAAUUACCAAUCUUUGGUAAGGGUGCAAAGGUGCGGUAAGAGCGCACCAGCAACAUCGAGAGGUGUUGGCUCGGUAAACCCCGGUUGGGAGCAAGGCGAAUGGAACUACGGUUGGUCUUUUACCAGUUCCGCGAUCAGAGCCGCUAGAGACGUCUGGUAACAGCCGUCCCAGAUAGAUAACCGCCCUCUUGAAUUAAGAGAACAGAACCCGGCUUACUGCCGACUCUCUACU